This is a long non-coding RNA of Acanthochromis polyacanthus (spiny chromis), 725 nucleotides long. RefSeq lists it as uncharacterized. The record is from RefSeq and is a predicted model, not a curated record. NCBI's taxonomy places the organism in Eukaryota, Metazoa, Chordata, Actinopteri, Pomacentridae. The transcript has 3 exons.
GAUCAGAGCUAGAUUUAAAGGUGUGAUCAGGACUAGAUUUAAAGGUGUGAUCAGGGCUAGAUUUAAAGGUGUGAUCAGGACUAGAUUUAAAGGUGUGAUCAGAGCUAGAUUUAAAGGUGUGAUCAGAGCUAGAUUUAAAGGUGUGAUCAGGGCUAGAUUUAAAGGUGUGAUCAGAGCUAGAUUUAAAGGUGUGAUCAGAGCUAGAUUUAAAGGUGUGAUCAGGACUAGAUUUAAAGGUGUGAUCAGGGCUAGAUUUAAAGGUGUGAUCAGGACUAGAUUUAAAGGUGUGAUCAGAGCUAGAUUUAAAGGUGUGAUCAGAGCUAGAUUUAAAGGUGUGAUCAGAGCUAGAUUUAAAGGUGUGAUCAGGACUAGAUUUAAAGGUGUGAUCAGAGCUAGAUUUAAAGGUGUGAUCAGAGCUAGAUUUAAAGGUGUGAUCAGGGCUAGAUUUAAAGGUGUGAUCAGAGCUAGAUUUAAAGGUGUGAUCAGAGCUAGAUUUAAAGGUGUGAUCAGAGCUAGAUUUAAAGGUGUGAUCGGGGCUAGAUUUAAAGGUGUGAUCAGAGCUAGAUUUAAAGGUGUGAUCAGAGCUAGAUUUAAAGGUGUGAUCAGAGCUAGAUUUAAAGGUGUGAUCAGGGUGAGACUGAAGAGGAUGAGGAGGCAGUAAGGGUUUGGAGGAUGAACAGUCAGUCCACAUUACUCUGUUCUGGUCCAGUCCGAUCCAAUAGAAG